AUUCAGCUGACUAAUCCCGAAUAGGACGAAACGCGCGUCCUGGAU
RNAcentral lists this non-coding RNA (45 nucleotides) under Schistosoma mansoni. Lineage: Eukaryota; Metazoa; Platyhelminthes; Trematoda; Strigeidida; Schistosomatidae. The record is from RNAcentral.